GACGAACGCUGGCGGCGUGCUUAACACAUGCAAGUCGAACGGAAAGGCCCUGCUUUUGUGGGGUUCUCGAGUGGCGAACGGGUGAGUAACACGUGAGUAACCUGCCCUUGACUUUGGGAUAACUUCAGGAAACUGGGGCUAAUACCGGAUAGGAUCUCCUGUUGCAUGGUGGGGGUUGGAAAUUUUCGGCGGUUGGGGAUGGACUCGCGGCUUAUCAGCUUGUUGGUGGGGUAGUGGCUUACCAAGGCUUUGACGGGUAGCCGGCCUGAGAGGGUGACCGGCCACAUUGGGACUGAGAUACGGCCCAGACUCCUACGGGAGGCAGCAGUGGGGAAUAUGGCACAAUGGGCGGAAGCCUGAUGCAGAAACGCCGCGGUCGGGAUGCCGGCCUUCGGGUUGUAAACCGCUGUCGCCUGUGACGAAGCGGGAGUGACGGUAAUGGGUAAAGAAGCACCGGCUAACUACGUG
Molecule: ribosomal RNA, 468 nt
Filed under: uncultured bacterium
Lineage: Bacteria
Description: partial 16S ribosomal RNA
Rfam family: Bacterial small subunit ribosomal RNA
Source: RNAcentral